GUCCCUAUCUCUUAAGAGGUCCAGAGUCUUGGAAAGUCCACAGUACUUUGAAAGCUUGAUGUUUCCUUACUGCCACCAAAGGAGUGUAGGAAAAAUCUGAAAUCCCCCAGAUUGGAAAAUAUCCUGUGAAUACACAUUUUUCUGACUGCUCCAUGUCAUCAGAUGUCUUUAUCUUCAGCUGCAGUUCUCUGAGAGAUACUGGGGUAUGCAGGAUGCAGAAGAAGGUCUUAGUUUCACUGCACAGUUUGACAGGCUUCCCAUUCAUCUUUUGUUGGAGAAAAUAAAAAAAAAAGAGCUGUUGCCUUGAGUGCUGCUACACAAGAUGAAAACCCGUGACUGGCAAGAGAUUGCUUACAGCUGUCAGGUGAGGUUUACGAAAAUGUAUGAACCCAAAGUAUGCCAUGAGGACUCUGGGAUAUCCCCAUCCCUAUAAGACUCUGGAAGAAAUAUAACCAUGGGUCAGAUUCCUCCUGCCCUGCUUGGUACUGGAAUAAAAUGUGUCUUCCACCACCUAACUCGUGGGGCUUCUCACUCAGGCAAAUCUUGCUAUGAUGCUUUCUCUUCAAGAGUGCCACCAUGCAGACAAGAAAGGGAGCCUGGAGCAAGACUACACAUCCCAGUAUGUCCCACACCAUAUGGGAUGGUGCGGGAGACAUCUGCCCAGUGCUUGAUCAGUCGGUUUGGGGAGUGUCUCCCAGCUGCACUCCUGACGCUCCUCUCUUGUGGCCUACUAUUUUUCUGUUGUUUUUCAUGUUGCAGUGUCAUCCUCCAGAGGCACUUACAGCUUUAUAUGUUUACUUUCCACCUUUCCCACCCUUUGUGGGGCAUUGUCACCCAACAGAAGUCUGGAAAAAAGAAGGUCAUUGAAGGCCAGAUGGAAGAUUUCCCUGAUAUCGGUAGCAGCAAGCAUAAUAAGAGACUUGGCUUUAACUUCUGCAGUACAGCAGAGGAACCUUCUGAAAUGGAGAUGGUUUUAGCAGCACAAGAAUUGUCCUUGGCAUGCAAGCCCAUGAACUAUACUCACUCUUUUUGGUAUGAUUGAGAAGAAACUGGAGAUGGAAGCAUACUCUGUGACCUGGAACAGCUGGUGGUACCAUGAAAGGAAGUGAUAUUGGGACUCAUAGCUGUUGGAGUGGGUUUGUACUGAGGCCAGAGCUGCUGUGCAGAUCUGCUCACAAGCUGGAAAAACAACCAGUGGGCCUAUUAUUACUGUUAUUAUUGGAGAGGGUAAGAAAAAGGCAUAUGUCCAUUUCAGAGCUUAAAAGCAUUAACAAUCUCCAUAAUAUGCAGUGCUGUUCUUGCUGACAUGAUUAGUUUUCAAAAGAGUCUGCAUGAUCAUCAGAUUUUGAAAAUAUAAGAAAUUAUUUCCUAGAAACCUUCCUUUACAAAAUUGGUUAGUUAAAUGUUGUGUAAAUUAUACUCCUGUUGUUUUAAUCCACGGGCUAUUAGCAGACAUUGGGGUAUCACAGUAAUGCUGUGCACAGAGAAUCAAUUUAUGAUUAUCCUGUACUGUUUUUCAAUGACCUGAAAUUGUGCACUGAACAGGAACAUAUAUUGUUUUAAUUAUCUUGGUCACACUCUCAGCUUUAUAAAACUUGCUGCAGGUUCAUCAACUCAGAUCCAGGUAUAAUUCAUAUUGGUCACAAGAAUAUUAUUUAAGAAUAUAAUGGCACC
RNAcentral lists this long non-coding RNA (1674 nucleotides) under Gallus gallus (chicken). RNAcentral describes it as "lncRNA (ENSGALG00010006631.1)". The record is from RNAcentral. Lineage: Eukaryota; Metazoa; Chordata; Aves; Galliformes; Phasianidae.